AACGUAGGUGGCGAGCGUUAUCCGGAUUUACUGGGCGUAAAGGGUGUGCAGGCUGCCCCUCAAGUGGUGUAUGAAAGGGCUCGGCUCAACCGGGCUAGGUUAUGCCAGACUGAGGGGCUAGAGAGCGAGAGCGGGACGUGGAAUUCCGGGUGUAGUGGUGAAAUGCGUAGAGAUCCGGAGGAACACCGGUGGCGAAGGCGGCUUCCUGGACCGACACUGACGCUGAGACACGAAAGCGUGGGUAGCAAACAGG
Molecule: ribosomal RNA, 253 nt
Filed under: uncultured bacterium
Lineage: Bacteria
Description: partial 16S ribosomal RNA
Rfam family: Bacterial small subunit ribosomal RNA
Source: RNAcentral